AUUGAACGCUGGCGGCAGGCCUAACACAUGCAAGUCGAGCGGAUGAAGGGAGCUUGCUCCUGGAUUCAGCGACGGACGGGUGAGUAAUGCCUAGGAAUCUGCCUGGUAGUGGGGGAUAACGUCCGGAAACGGGCGCUAAUACCGCAUACGUCCUGAGGGAGAAAGUGGGGGAUCUUCGGACCUCACGCUAUCAGAUGAGCCUAGGUCGGAUUAGCUAGUUGGUGGGGUAAAGGCCUACCAAGGCGACGAUCCGUAACUGGUCUGAGAGGAUGAUCAGUCACACUGGAACUGAGACACGGUCCAGACUCCUACGGGAGGCAGCAGUGGGGAAUAUUGGACAAUGGGCGAAAGCCUGAUCCAGCCAUGCCGCGUGUGUAAAGAAGGUCUUCGGAUUGUAAAGCACUUUAAGUUGGGAGGAAGGGCAGUAAGUUAAUACCUUGCUGUUUUGACGUUACCAACAGAAUAAGCACCGGCUAACUUCGUG
RNAcentral lists this ribosomal RNA (484 nucleotides) under uncultured bacterium. RNAcentral describes it as "partial 16S ribosomal RNA". It matches the Rfam family "Bacterial small subunit ribosomal RNA", at positions 30 to 507 of the family's 1533-position model. The record is from RNAcentral.